RNAcentral lists this unclassified non-coding RNA (164 nucleotides) under uncultured Ascomycota. RNAcentral describes it as "sequence contains ITS2". RNAcentral also lists the same sequence under 1 other name. The record is from RNAcentral. Lineage: Eukaryota; Fungi; Ascomycota.
CACACUCCAAGCGAAGCUUGAUGUUGGGCGGUGCGGUCUCUCCGGAGAUUGCAAGCCUGGAACGCGUGGGCGCCCACCGCCGGAUCACGAGCGUAGCAAGACAUUUCGUCAUUUCGUUCUGUGGACUCUGACGGAGGGCGGCCUCAUACUUUUCUGUUACAGAA